ACUUUUGAAAAGAUAAAGGUCCAAAAGUGCAAUUAAGCCUUUAUUUUAUUAACCACUAAUAUGCAAGUUAGUAACCACUUAUUUAACAGUGUUACAAAACGACUGGAGUAUAUAAAUAACUCAUUACCUACCUAGAGUACUUCAUUAACCACCAAAAUACAAAUCAUUGACCACUAAAAUGAAGUAUUCUAAGUUGUUAAUAACUUAUGUUAUAGUGGUUAAUGAAGCACUCUAAAUGGUUAAUGAAAAAUCAAUAUAUUUUAUCAUCUUAUAACUAUGUUAAAUAAGAGGUUAGCAUUUACAUUUUAUUGGUUGAUGAAGUAAUCUAUGCGAUUAAUGAGAUGUAUUUUUUUUUUUUAGAUAGACGAAAUGGUAAAGUCAUUAUAAACUCACGAGAUGUAUGUUAAAUAGGCAGUUAAUGACUUAUAUUUUAGUGUUUAAUAAAAUAUCUAGGAGGUAAAUGAGAUAACUCCAUAUUUGUGUAACAAAAACAUCUCUCUAUGAUUAUCUAAAAAUAGUUUUUUUUUUAUUUUAUUUUGCUAAAUAAAAGAGUGAAUUGUGCUGCUAAAAUUACGAACACUUAAACAAAUAAAUAUUCAAAGCAAGAAUGACAUAUCUGAUGCUACC
RNAcentral lists this long non-coding RNA (627 nucleotides) under Medicago truncatula (barrel medic). RNAcentral describes it as "long non-coding RNA (MTRU_LNC001613)". The record is from RNAcentral. Lineage: Eukaryota; Viridiplantae; Streptophyta; Magnoliopsida; Fabales; Fabaceae.